This 492-nucleotide ribosomal RNA is filed under the name uncultured bacterium. Its description in RNAcentral is "bacterial SSU rRNA". It matches the Rfam family "Bacterial small subunit ribosomal RNA", at positions 29 to 518 of the family's 1533-position model. The record is from RNAcentral.
AUGAACGCUAGCGACAGGCCUAACACAUGCAAGUCGAGGGGCAGCACAAGGAGCAAUCUGAGGUGGCGACCGGCGCACGGGUGAGUAACACGUAUGACAACCUGCCUGUAAGCGGGAAUAACCCGUGAAAGACGACUAAUACCGCAUAAUACUAAAUUACUGCAUGGUAAUUUAUUUAAACAUUUAUGGCUUACAGAUGGGCAUGCGCAUGAUUAGCUAGUUGGAGAGGUAACGGCUCCCCAAGGCAACGAUCAUUAGGGGUUCUGAGAGGAAGGUCCCCCACACUGGUACUGAGACACGGACCAGACUCCUACGGGAGGCAGCAGUGAGGAAUAUUGGUCAAUGGACGAGAGUCUGAACCAGCCAAGUCGCGUGCAGGAAGAAUGUCCUAUGGAUUGUAAACUGCUUUUGCAGGGGAAUAAAGUGCAUCACGUGUGAUGUUUUGUAUGUACUCUGCGAAUAAGGAUCGGCUAACUCCGUGCCAGCAGCUGC